AUUGAACGCUGGCGGCAGGCCUAACACAUGCAAGUCGAGCGGACGAAGGGAGCUUGCUCCUGGAUUCAGCGGCGGACGGGUGAGUAAUGCCUAGGAAUCUGCCUGGUAGUGGGUGAUAACGUCCGGAAACGGGCGCUAAUACCGCAUACGUCCUGAGGGCGUAAGUGGGGGAUCUUCGGACCUCACGCUAUCAGAUGAGCCUAGGUCGGAUUAGCUGGUUGGUGGGGUAAAGGCCUACCAAGGCGACGAUCCGUAACUGGUCUGAGAGGAUGAUCAGUCACACUGGAACUGAGACACGGUCCAGACUCCUACGGGAGGCAGCAGUGGGGAAUAUUGGACAAUGGGCGAAAGCCUGAUCCAGCCAUGCCGCGUGUGUGAAGAAGGUCUUCGGAUUGUAAAGCACUUUAAGUUGGGAGGAAGGGCAGUAAGUUAAUACCUUGCUGUGUUGACGUUACCAACAGAAUAAGCACCGGCUAACUUCGUG
This 484-nucleotide ribosomal RNA is filed under the name uncultured bacterium. RNAcentral describes it as "partial 16S ribosomal RNA". It matches the Rfam family "Bacterial small subunit ribosomal RNA", at positions 30 to 507 of the family's 1533-position model. The record is from RNAcentral.